Molecule: long non-coding RNA, 345 nt
Organism: Folsomia candida
Lineage: Eukaryota; Metazoa; Arthropoda; Collembola; Entomobryomorpha; Isotomidae
Exons: 2
Source: RefSeq, a predicted model, not a curated record
GAAAUUCACCAGUUCUUUCCCAAUUUCAAUACAAUUUCAAUAAAAUGUUUGCCCAAUACAUCUUCAUCGCCGUUCUCCUUGUCGCCGGGUUUCAAGCAACCCCCAUGACACCAGAGGAGAAGCUUUUCUUUGCAAAUAUACCGCUCGGAGGAAACCAAAAUUUUAACCUGGUUCCCUUAUCGUGCCGACUUUGGGGCAUCUUCUGUCCACCUGGUUACACCGGACCUGGCGUGGUCACAACGACCACAACGGCACGAACGAAUUCAACAACGGGUUAAUUAAUUAUAAAAUGUUUCAAUUAUAAGAUUGGCAUUCAAUCUGAAUAAAUUAAUGUGAAAAUAUUUA